This 21-nucleotide microRNA is filed under the name Callorhinchus milii (elephant shark). Its description in RNAcentral is "eshark_NOVEL_161". Lineage: Eukaryota; Metazoa; Chordata; Chondrichthyes; Chimaeriformes; Callorhinchidae. The record is from RNAcentral.
GUAGGAAAUGACAUCAGUGGC